CCAACGGGGGGCUGCAGUCGAGGAUCAUUCGCAAUGGGGGAAACCCUGACGAUGCGACGCUGCGUGGAGGAUGAAGGCCCUCGGGUUGUAAACUCCUGUCAUGGGGGAAGAGGAGAGCGUCACUAACACUGACGCGAUUUGACGGUACCCCAAGAGGAAGCCACGGCUAACUCUGUGCCAGCAGCCGCGGUAAUACAGAGGUGGCGGGCGUUGUUCGGAUUUACUGGGCGUAAAGGGCGCGUAGGCUGCCGCGCGUGUCGGGUGUGAAAUCCCAGGGCCCAACCCUGGAAGUGCGCCCGAAACUGUUUGGCUGGAGUGCGGGAGGGGGGAUCGGAAUGCAGGGUGUAGCGGUGAAAUGCGUUGAUAUCCUGCAGAACACCGGUGGCGAAGGCGGAUCCCUGGAACGCAACUGACGCUGAGGCACGAAAGCCGGGGGAGCAAACA
RNAcentral lists this ribosomal RNA (444 nucleotides) under uncultured prokaryote. RNAcentral describes it as "bacterial SSU rRNA". It matches the Rfam family "Bacterial small subunit ribosomal RNA", at positions 338 to 774 of the family's 1533-position model. The record is from RNAcentral.